GUCGAGAAUUUUUGACAAUGGGGGAAACCCUGAUCGAGCGACGCCGCGUGGAGGAUGAAGGUCUUCGGAUUGUAAACUCCUGUCAUUGGGGAACAAGGUGCAUACGUUAACUGCGUAUGUAUUGAUAGUACCCGAAGAGGAAGAGACGGCUAACUCUGUGCCAGCAGCCGCGGUAAUACAGAGGUCUCAAGCGUUGUUCGGAUUCAUUGGGCGUAAAGGGUGCGUAGGCGGCGCGGUAAGUCGGGUGUGAAAUCUCGGAGCUUAACUCCGAAACUGCAUUCGAUACUGCCGUGCUUGAGGACUGGAGAGGAGACUGGAAUUUACGGUGUAGCGGUGAAAUGCGUAGAUAUCGUAAGGAAGACCAGUGGCGAAGGCGGGUCUCUGGACAGUUCCUGACGCUGAGGCACGAAGGCCAGGGGAGCAAAC
Molecule: ribosomal RNA, 426 nt
Filed under: uncultured bacterium
Lineage: Bacteria
Description: bacterial SSU rRNA
Rfam family: Bacterial small subunit ribosomal RNA
Source: RNAcentral